Long non-coding RNA from Varanus komodoensis (Komodo dragon), 780 nucleotides. RefSeq lists it as uncharacterized. NCBI's taxonomy places the organism in Eukaryota, Metazoa, Chordata, Lepidosauria, Squamata, Varanidae. The transcript has 2 exons. The record is from RefSeq and is a predicted model, not a curated record.
GUAAAAUGUAGUCCAUUUACUAGUCAGUUCCAAACCAACUCUUCUCACAUACACUGUGGAAGGCAAGUAUAGUUUCAUGUGCAGGUUGAUAUGACCAACAUGCUGAUACUUAGAACAAUUACUUAAGGAGCAAUACAAUAAAAUGGGCUAGACAAAUGUGUUGGGGGGAUUUGGAGGGAUUUUCACUCUGACUCCCCAACCCCAUGGGCAGCACACCCUAGGGCCUCUGCAAAAAGAAUGGGUAGCUUUGCUGCCAACAUUCAGCAACAAACUGCUACAGUGGAGUAAAAAGAUCAAAUCUUGCUUGAGAACAAACUGAAUUUGAUUACUAGUCUUCUUCAAUGCUGGUCACCAUUUUUUUUUAAAGAAAAGGGCAAGUUUCGGCAGAAGUUGAAAUUGCUGAAUACAGAAGUUGCACUGACCCCUAUAUUGCCUAUCCUGCCAUAUUCACUUACUUUUGAGUAAUCCCCGUUAAAUUCUUGUGACUUAGACUUCUGACAGACGUGUAUACAACUGCAUCAAUAGUGACCAUUGCUAUCCAACUAUGCAUGAUUAUACUAAAGUCUAAUGAUCUGCCUUUUCUUGGCUUUGCAUGACAAAAACAGGACUCCUGCUCUGAAGUUUGAUACCUAUUCCGGAAAUUUACCCUGUCAACAGAUAUCACCAUGGCACUGAUAAUCAUUGCCUCCACCUCCAAAAGACGUGUAUUAAACGCCUUACAGUGAAAUUACAACACUGUAAAUAAAUAAAUAAAUUUGUGGAUCCAGGGUUCUGGCUGUU